GAUGAACGCUGGCGGCGUGCCUAAUACAUGCAAGUCGAGCGAACAGACGAGGAUCUUGCUCCGCUGACGUUAGCGGCGGACGGGUGAGUCACACGUGGAUAACCUACCUCUAAGACUUGGAUCACUUCGGGAAACCGUAGCUAAUACCGGAUAAUAUAUUGAACCGCAUGGUUCAAUAGUGAAAGACGGGUUUUCUGUCACUUAUCGAUGGAUCCGCGCCGCAUUAGCUAGUUGGUAAGGUAACGCCUUACCAAGGCAACGAUGCGUAGCCGACGUGAGAGGGUGAUCGGCCACACUGGAACUGAGACACGGUCCAGACUCCUACGGGAGGCAGCAGUAGGGAAUCUUCCGCAAUGGGCGAAAGCCUGACGGAGCAACGCCGCGUGAGUGAUGAAGGUCUUCGGAUCGUAAAACUCUGUUAUUGGGGAAGAACAAAUGUGUAAGUAAAUAUGGACGUAUUGACGGUACCUAAUGAGAAAGCACCGGCUAACUACGUG
Molecule: ribosomal RNA, 497 nt
Filed under: uncultured bacterium
Lineage: Bacteria
Description: partial 16S ribosomal RNA
Rfam family: Bacterial small subunit ribosomal RNA
Source: RNAcentral